GAAGUAACAUAGACACCAAGCAGGCAUCCCAGACCUCAUCACCAGAAGUCGGAAGUCAAGGAGAAAAUCGGGAGGCACCCACAGCAGCCAAGCUGUGAACAGUGGGCCCCACUUCCUGAUGUCUCUGCCAUCACACCAUAAAGCUGUCAAUUAG
This is a long non-coding RNA of Mus caroli (Ryukyu mouse), 154 nucleotides long. RefSeq lists it as uncharacterized. NCBI's taxonomy places the organism in Eukaryota, Metazoa, Chordata, Mammalia, Rodentia, Muridae. The record is from RefSeq and is a predicted model, not a curated record.